GCCAGCAGCCAUGUCACCCUGCAACACACAAUUGACAACUCAUCGAAGCUCAGCAGGUGUGAGCCUGGCCACUACCUGGAUGGAAGACCUCCUGGGAAAACUAAGGUUGCUGCUGGAA
This 118-nucleotide ribosomal RNA is filed under the name Lepisosteus oculatus (spotted gar). The record is from RNAcentral. Lineage: Eukaryota; Metazoa; Chordata; Actinopteri; Semionotiformes; Lepisosteidae.